RNAcentral lists this ribosomal RNA (895 nucleotides) under Salmonella enterica subsp. enterica serovar 3,10:e,h:-. RNAcentral's name for it is "partial 23S ribosomal RNA". It matches the Rfam family "Bacterial large subunit ribosomal RNA", at positions 2039 to 2925 of the family's 2925-position model. Lineage: Bacteria; Pseudomonadati; Pseudomonadota; Gammaproteobacteria; Enterobacterales; Enterobacteriaceae. The record is from RNAcentral.
AAAUUGAACUCGCUGUGAAGAUGCAGUGUACCCGCGGCAAGACGGAAAGACCCCGUGAACCUUUACUAUAGCUUGACACUGAACAUUGAGCCUUGAUGUGUAGGAUAGGUGGGAGGCUUUGAAGUGUGGACGCCAGUCUGCAUGGAGCCGACCUUGAAAUACCACCCUUUAAUGUUUGAUGUUCUAACGUGGACCCGUAAUCCGGGUUGCGGACAGUGUCUGGUGGGUAGUUUGACUGGGGCGGUCUCCUCCUAAAGAGUAACGGAGGAGCACGAAGGUUGGCUAAUCCUGGUCGGACAUCAGGAGGUUAGUGCAAUGGCAUAAGCCAGCUUGACUGCGAGCGUGACGGCGCGAGCAGGUGCGAAAGCAGGUCAUAGUGAUCCGGUGGUUCUGAAUGGAAGGGCCAUCGCUCAACGGAUAAAAGGUACUCCGGGGAUAACAGGCUGAUACCGCCCAAGAGUUCAUAUCGACGGCGGUGUUUGGCACCUCGAUGUCGGCUCAUCACAUCCUGGGGCUGAAGUAGGUCCCAAGGGUAUGGCUGUUCGCCAUUUAAAGUGGUACGCGAGCUGGGUUUAGAACGUCGUGAGACAGUUCGGUCCCUAUCUGCCGUGGGCGCUGGAGAACUGAGGGGGGCUGCUCCUAGUACGAGAGGACCGGAGUGGACGCAUCACUGGUGUUCGGGUUGUCAUGCCAAUGGCACUGCCCGGUAGCUAAAUGCGGAAGAGAUAAGUGCUGAAAGCAUCUAAGCACGAAACUUGCCCCGAGAUGAGUUCUCCCUGAGACUUAGAGUCUCCUGAAGGAACGUUGAAGACGACGACGUUGAUAGGCCGGGUGUGUAAGCGCAGCGAUGCGUUGAGCUAACCGGUACUAAUGAACCGUGAGGCUUAACCUUACA